This 1000-nucleotide long non-coding RNA is filed under the name Catharus ustulatus (Swainson's thrush). RNAcentral describes it as "lncRNA (ENSCUSG00005014599.1)". The record is from RNAcentral. Lineage: Eukaryota; Metazoa; Chordata; Aves; Passeriformes; Turdidae.
AGCCUGACAUUUAUUUCUGUGCCAACAGCAAAUGUACUCUCAGUCUCCCCAAAUUCCAUCCAUCUGAAGGCUGAAGAGAGAAAAUAGGGCAGCACCUCUGGAGGACAGUGUGUAUGUGGUUUCAGAAAGGACAGCAGAACCAUUUGGUUGGUCCAGAACAUUUACAAUAAAUGUUUUUCAAGCUCUGUGUCUGUUGUAGCAUUUCUCAAACACACAAACAGAGUACUCUCACGUUUAGUCCUCUACAUCAGUUACCUAGUAGCAGAUUUGGGGAUGAUCAGUGCCAGAAGAGGGGUGCCUGCCCUAGGGAGAUUUGCCAGGUAUUUUUAUAAUUAUUUUUUUAAAUUUUGGUGACAAAUGCUUGAUUUUUUUCAUGCUGUCCCAGUCAAUAACAGACCAGGUUUUCAAAGUCAACUAAGCACCAGACAUCCCUCCUAAUCUCUGUGAUUCUAUCCCAUUUAAGUUCUUCAGUCGAAGCAGGGAAAAGUCCUGGCAAACAAUGAGGAUGUUAUGGAACAUGGAAGACUGAGCUACUGAACUCCACAUCCUGACACAGCUGCCAGCCUAAGCCAGGCUUGGAAAGGUCUGGCAGCCUCAGUGCUCCACUGAAAGGAGCAAGAGAGCUGCACAGGCUCAGAAUCAUGGCUUUCAGAUGGUCAGGAACUGCAAUAACCACGUUGUGCAGUGGAGCAAAAGAACAGAAUCAAAAGGAUGGCCUGGGAAUACCCUGAGAAGGCUAAAGGAACCAAGGAAUGAAAGCACAACUUACCAGAGGUGUUGGGAACUGUAUCAAGGAGCACGGCCUGUGUGUCUCCUCUCUGGGCCUCCAUGAACUGCUCUGCCACAGCAAAGAGUUCUCAUACACCAGUGUGCAAGUGCAGAAGUAUUCUGGAGGCAACAAAACAUUUCUGCAAUAUCCCUACUUGUGAAUAUUGUUGUCUGCAAAGACUAAAAAAAGUAUUUCCCUUUGUUUCAUACAUACACACUUGUCGUACAUACA